GGGGGUGAAAAUGGGAUUGACAGAGGCUCAGCUAAGAUAAGCAGGCCGAGCGAAAUCUCGUAAAACUUUCAAAAGAAAAACUGCCAACUUAUCUUUACAACCUGUCUUAGCCUAAGCAUAAAGACAGGCAUCCUCUUCCCGAUCCUCGAUAGGGAAAGAGCGGUGUCAUAGAUCGAGGAUAGUUCUUUUCGUCAGGUUGAAAGCUUUUCGUCCGAUUUUUGACUUUCAGCCUUCCUUAAAUCGGACUAAGCCUGUAGAUUUAUCUUAGCGAAAACCUCUGGACUGGGGUUCGAUUCCCCACACCUCCAAAA
Molecule: transfer-messenger RNA, 311 nt
Filed under: Candidatus Parcubacteria bacterium
Lineage: Bacteria; Candidatus Parcubacteria
Rfam family: transfer-messenger RNA
About the family: Bacterial tmRNA, also known as 10Sa RNA or SsrA, is named for its dual tRNA and mRNA-like properties. Its role is to liberate the mRNA from a stalled ribosome. To accomplish this part of the tmRNA is used as a reading frame that ends in a translation stop signal.
Source: RNAcentral